UCCUACGGGGCGCAGCAGUGAGGAAUAUUGGUCAAUGGACUUACGCCUGAACCAGCCAAGUCGCGUGAGGGAAGAAUGCCCUACGGGUCGCAAACCUCUUUUGACAGGGAGCAACGCCGCUGACGUGUCGCCGGACGGAGAGUACCCGUAGAACAAGCAUCGGCUAACUCCGUGCCAGCAGCCGCGGUAAUACGGAGGAUGCGAGCGUUAUCCGGAUUUAUUGGGUUUAAAGGGUGCGCAGGCGGCACGGCAAGCCGGCGGUCAAAUCGCGGGGCUCAACCCCGCCCAGCCGUCGGAACUGCCGG
RNAcentral lists this ribosomal RNA (305 nucleotides) under uncultured bacterium. RNAcentral describes it as "bacterial SSU rRNA". It matches the Rfam family "Bacterial small subunit ribosomal RNA", at positions 337 to 639 of the family's 1533-position model. The record is from RNAcentral.